Molecule: long non-coding RNA, 1625 nt
Filed under: Olea europaea subsp. europaea
Lineage: Eukaryota; Viridiplantae; Streptophyta; Magnoliopsida; Lamiales; Oleaceae
Source: RNAcentral
AUUUAUAGGUACAUACUAUAUCAUAAAUAUGAAAAUAAUAUGGAAUAAGAAAAUAAUAUAUUUCCAAUAAAAUCACGCGAAAAUAAAGUAAUAAUUUUUUCCACUUGAAAGUAAGGGAACAAUUUUUUUUCCUAAUUUGGGUCAUAAACUCAACAAGAACGUCUCUGGUUAGGCUCUUAUUCAACGCCUGAAGCCGCAGCAAUAGCACACGAUGUUGCAUUUUAUUGUCUACGAGGAACUUCAUCAAUCGAAAAAACUCAACUUCCCUUCAAUGUUACCAACAAAUGCUCGGACAUGAUUGUCACCUAGGUCGAUGCAGAAUGUGGCCUCAGAUGCUGGCAUGGCCAUGGACGCUCAAUUAUCUUCAAAGAACAACACGAAUAUAAAUAAGUAUUGUGAAACAUCAUGGGAGGGGAAUGAUCAGUCUAGAGAAGGUGAAGCUUUGAGCAUUUCAUUUGAAGAUUAUCUAUAGAUCGGUUAUCUGAAUGAAGGUUAUUUUUGGUCAUAGAAAUAUGUGUUUUCUCAGAGACAGAGAGAAUACAAUAGUGCCUCCAGGUAGGGGCAGAUCCAAGAAUUUUGUGAGCACGGGCUAAACAGUGAUAUCAUCAGCUUGACCAUUGGGACUCGACCCAUGGGUGGCUCGUGCUUAUUUCAGGGCAAAACCUAGCAGUCUAGCAUGAAUCGAGCGGACAUUUUCAGCGAGCAACUCAUGGACGACACAACAAUAACAAUCAUUAAGCCAACAAGGCAAAAAGAAGUCAACAACAACUAUUAAGCCCAACCAAACACACUAUUACAUAUGAAUUAAGCUCAACACAGUUCAAUAUAAAAAUCAUUGUAUAAAACACCAAAAAAAAUCAUAUAAAGAUAAUACAAAGAUUAUUAGGCUCAACACAGUUCAAUAUAAGAAUCAUUGCAUAAAACACCAAAAAAAUCAUAUAAAGAUAAUACAAAGAUUAUUAGCUUACACGGUCAUUUGAUCCCGGCUUCUUCAAACCAAUGAGUGAUUUUAUCCACUUCCCGGAACCACCCAUUCCGGAAGAAAAUUAAAUUAAAGAUUAAAACACUCAAUUUUUUUUUCCAGUAUAUGAAGACAAAACAAAUCGAAUUAUAGAGAUUUUUUUGCAAUGAGCUUUCAUCAAUCUUUUCACUAAAUACGAAUUAAUCAAAGUAAACAAAUAUGGGGAAAAAACAGAGACAUUAAUGGCCCGAAUAUGCAAAAUAAAUAAAUAACUCAAAAUUGAAAUACAAAAACAAAGAAAGAAAUUUCUAAAAUGAUGGGAAAUCAAAUUACUGCUAAUUCGAUUCUUAAAGGUGAGGCAUUUCAACUGCUCGAUUGUCCAUCAAUUCCCGCUUUACCGUUCGCACCAUUGUUUGAUUGUUCUUGCAAGACAAAUAGGAAAACGAGAAAGUGAAAAAAUGACGGGGUAAUCCGAUUGUUUGAACAAAAUAGGUAAGUGAAUUUUGACUUUUAUAACCUAGAUGGUAAGUAGUUGUGACAAAGAUUUCGGGGGUAACGUAUGGCGUGAAUGUAGGAAAUUGAAAUUUGAAACAUCUGAGAAAUGGGAUUUUGGGGCUGUGUGUUGAGGGAGAGGGAGGCUAUUAGCAGUAGGUUUAGGUUUGGG